AACAGAUGACAUUAUAAUAAAAGAUAAUGACUGGACAUAUCUAAAAUGUAGAUAUUUGGAUAGUUGGAAACGUACUCUAUAUAAUGCGUUUCACUGUCAGUAUGGACGUCUGACUUACUAUGACUGUACAUAUAGGGGUUAAAAUUAGGUGGGUGAAUCAAUGCAACACAUCUAAACCAGCAGCAGGAGUCACCUGAAGAGAGGACGUCCCACAAUGACCACAACAAAGAUAGUUCAUGACGUGUUUAAUGAAGUGGAUUUACAUUUGGUUGAUGAUGUGGAAUAUGUAGGAGAUUAAAAGAUAAAGAGGAAGGGAGAGCUACCAUUUUAGGAAGGGAUGCUUUGAGCAGAUCUAGAAAAUGUCAUUAUUACAAACUGAUGACAAAUAUCAUGGCAAACAGCCACAUAAAAAUAUAUAAUUAUGCUUUUGUGUGAUUUCAUGUAUGUUUUUCACUCAGUUCACUGAAAAGUGCAAAAGAUAACAAUAACUAACUACUAAACCAUCAAAUAAAAAUGUCUG
Long non-coding RNA from Esox lucius (northern pike), 520 nucleotides. The record is from Ensembl. NCBI's taxonomy places the organism in Eukaryota, Metazoa, Chordata, Actinopteri, Esociformes, Esocidae.